CGGGGGGAGCAAGCGUUGUUCGGAUUUACUGGGCGUAAAGGGCGCGUAGGCGGCCACCGCAAGUCGGUUGUGAAAUCUCCGGGCUUAACCCGGAAAGGUCAAUCGAUACUGCGGGGCUAGAGUGCAGAAGGGGCAACUGGAAUUCUCGGUGUAGCGGUGAAAUGCGUAGAUAUCGAGAGGAACACCUGCGGCGAAGGCGGGUUGCUGGGCUGACACUGACGCUGAAGCGCGAAAGCUAGGGGAGCGAACGGGAUUAGAUACCCCGGUAGUCCUAGCCUUAAACGAUGAAUGCUUGGUGUCUGGGGUUUUAUAGUCCCCGGGUGCCGUCGCUAACGCUUUAAGCAUUCCGCCUGGGGAGUACGGUCGCAAGACUG
RNAcentral lists this ribosomal RNA (374 nucleotides) under uncultured organism. Its description in RNAcentral is "bacterial SSU rRNA". It matches the Rfam family "Bacterial small subunit ribosomal RNA", at positions 526 to 896 of the family's 1533-position model. The record is from RNAcentral.